RNAcentral lists this ribosomal RNA (253 nucleotides) under uncultured bacterium. RNAcentral describes it as "partial 16S ribosomal RNA". It matches the Rfam family "Bacterial small subunit ribosomal RNA", at positions 524 to 776 of the family's 1533-position model. The record is from RNAcentral.
UACGUAGGUUCCAAGCGUUACCCGGUUUUAUUGGGCGUAAAGGGUCUGUAGGUGGUUUUCUAAGUCCUGUUUUAAAGCCUCCAACUCAAUUGGAGAUAGGGGCAGGAUACUGGAUGACUAGAAUUAUAUCGGAGUAACUGGAAUUUUUAGUGUAGGGGUAAAAUCCGUGGAUACUAAAAAGAACACCAAGAGCGAAGGCGGGUUACUAGGUAUUAAUUGACACUCAUAGACGAAAGCUAGGGGAGCAAAUCAG